This 525-nucleotide long non-coding RNA is filed under the name Ananas comosus (pineapple). RNAcentral's name for it is "long non-coding RNA (ACOM_LNC016140)". The record is from RNAcentral. Lineage: Eukaryota; Viridiplantae; Streptophyta; Magnoliopsida; Poales; Bromeliaceae.
UUCUUCUAUUUUACAUCCCUACAUCUCUUAGGGGCUGUUUGGUUAUAUGUAAUUAUAAAUACAGUGUAGUUAAAGAUGCAUGCAGUUGGAAAUACAGCAAUUACAACUAUAUGAAUCAUAUUUGGUUGGAUGUAGUAGAAAAUGCUGCAAGUAUAAAUAAUUUAUUUGGUUGCAUGCAGCUGAGAAAUAAUUUUUAAAAUUUUAUUAUUUUAUAUAUAUGAUGGUAAGAUUACCUCCAAUAUAAAAAAGAAAAAUAAUUUUUGUUUAAAAAAUAUUGAGGAGGUAAGUAUACCUUUUAUUUAAAGUUACUCUCUCCAAUUGCUGUACUUGAAAUUGCGGUCAAUUUGGGCGUAGUUCGAACUACUGUAAUUGGGCCUCCUCUGCAGUUCCUACUGUAGCCGUUGGAGUUAAAUAAAUCAAACCAAACAUGAAAUUUGCAUUUACAUGCAGUUACAACUGCAGUACAGUUACAACUACAUGCAACCAAACGGCUCCUUAAUGUAACUUAGCUUAUUAGUCGUGUUU